UGAGUAACCUGCCCUUAACUCUGGGAUAACCCCGGGAAACCGGAGCUAAUACCGGAUACUCCGGCUGGAUCGCAUGGUCCGGCCGGGAAAGGUCCGCCGGAGAGGGAUGGGCCCGCGGCCUAUCAGCUAGUUGGUGUGGGUAAUGGCCCACCAAGGCGACGACGGGUAGCCGGCCUGAGAGGGUGACCGGCCACACUGGGACUGAGACACGGCCCAGACUCCUACGGGAGGCA
RNAcentral lists this ribosomal RNA (233 nucleotides) under uncultured bacterium. RNAcentral describes it as "partial 16S ribosomal RNA". It matches the Rfam family "Bacterial small subunit ribosomal RNA", at positions 118 to 350 of the family's 1533-position model. The record is from RNAcentral.